AAAAUAAAAUAGAGGGGCUCAUUAGCUACCAGAAACACCCCCAUGUAUGUUCAGCAAUUAUUUACGGUUUAGGAGAUAUGACCCAUUUUGUACCUUUUUCUAGAUUUUCUAUCUUACUUCAGAAAUAAUCAUUUUGUCGCUAUCCCUUUCUUAAUAAUUAUUUUAUUUUACUUCACAACUAUGCCUAAGGCUGUGUACCGCUUAAUCAAAGAUAAAUCAAAGUCACAUCAAGUAUAAAAAAAAAAGUUAUCGGAAGUCAAAGUGAGAAUUCGACCAAAAUUGUUACAGUUGUUAAAACUUCGUCGAAGAAUAAUAAACACAUGAGAUUGUCAUGGACCCUGAAAGUAUUUCUUAAAACUGCUCCAUUUAAUAGGCUUUUAGAAACAUCCAAAAAAAGUACCCUUAAUACGGGCAAAAAACUAAGUAAUUUGACCUCAAAUAUUGCAAGACAGACAGAUUUGAAGGAAAAUUUGACAUUCUCAUACAAUGUAGCUGCUUCUUUCUAACGUUGUUGAAGGUGCUCAAAGACACAUUUUCAGUUAAAAGUAAAUAAAAAUCACGCUUAUAAUCGCUAACAGGGUAGACAUAGCAACAAUCCGAAGACAAAACUUGCAGUCACUUUUGGUAUUCGUAUUUUAAUGAAGGUACAU
This is a long non-coding RNA of Pectinophora gossypiella (pink bollworm), 650 nucleotides long. RefSeq lists it as uncharacterized. Lineage: Eukaryota; Metazoa; Arthropoda; Insecta; Lepidoptera; Gelechiidae. The record is from RefSeq and is a predicted model, not a curated record. The transcript has 2 exons.